This 1357-nucleotide long non-coding RNA is filed under the name Oreochromis niloticus (Nile tilapia). RNAcentral's name for it is "lncRNA (ENSONIG00000041470.1)". The record is from RNAcentral. Lineage: Eukaryota; Metazoa; Chordata; Actinopteri; Cichliformes; Cichlidae.
CUGAGUUCUUCCUGCCUUUGCCUUCAAAAAUGAGACUCAACACAUCAGGCUGAUAGUCGUCUAAGGAGCUUGGAAAGAAGACAGAUAACCAUCACUGCUCUGACUGCUUUUCCAAUGUUGAAGUUCACUAUAUUCAUGCAGUUGAUUUUUUCACAUCCCAGGAUUGGAUGACCAAUCAGACGCCAGUAAAGAUGGGCUAGUGUGUGGAGGAAGGUCAUUCUCCUUAGGUUAUAUUAAUCCAUCGUUCCCCUGCUCCACUCAGAAGGACAGAGACUCAGGAUGGCCCGGCCUCUGCAGCUCUUUGUCGUGGUCUCCUCCUUAAUAGCUGCCUCUCUGUGUGAUGUCUGUGUGGAAGCUGUUUUAGGAAGGCAGUUCACAUUUCCAGAAAACUGCAGCAAUGAUGGAGGAAAACUGUUCCGGUGUGAGCCGCAUGGGGAGGUGGAGGUGGCUGUUCACCAGCAAGGUGUGUGGACACCUGCUCAAGGCUACGAAGACCGUAUCAGUAACAAUUCCUCCAUUAUCUUCUAUCACGCAUUUUACAAUGAUAGCGGGGAUUUUGUGUUAAGGUGUAGAGAAGGCGUGCAAAUUAAAAUUAAAGUUAAAGUUCUGCUUCCCUUUAAUGUAACGGUCAAGGAGGGAGAAAAUGCCACUUUCCCGUGCUUUUAUCAAGAGCAAGUCUGCAGCAAGUCCGAGACUGUGCAGUGUGUGAAAAACGGGCAGAAUUCCACCACAGACGAAGGAAACAAGUGUGCUGAUGGCCGACUCUAUGUGUCACCUAAACGAGACUGUUGCCGAAACGUAACAGGGGCUAAGAAGCAAGACGGAGGAGAUUAUUUUUGUUACAUCCAGUGUGGAGGGAAACGGUUCGCAGCUGUUGUGAGGCUAAAGGUCAACGGGACAUCCACUUCACCGCCUGCGUCGAAACCACAACAAGCCUGAGCUGCUGUCAGCUUUACAGAGGAGCAGUGCUGUGCUGUGCAACAUCCACACACGAUCCAGUCACACGGACCUUCCUCCUUCUCUUUAGCUCAUCAGUGCCACCCGUUACACAUAUUUCUCAUUUUUAGCGUCUAAAAACAACACGUUAGAAGUGCCAGAUUAGCUUGGAAACAUUCAAGUUUUUCAGACUUAUUAUCAUAUGAAAUGUGUUCUAAGAGGACAUUCAUAUCUCUUUAUAUUUUGUUCAUUUCUUCCUUGAUUUUUAGUUUAUCAUUAGUUUGUAUGAUUUUUACAUUUUAUAGAUGUGCCUUUGUAUUUCUACUCAUCCUGUAACUCGUUGGUUGCUCCAGUGUCUUCUUUGGUGCCUUCAGUCUACAUACAGUCCUUCUCUUUAUAUUAAUAAAUGAGUUUAAAGCCU